Anolis carolinensis (green anole) is the source of this 183-nucleotide small nuclear RNA. Its record names the gene U2. It matches the Rfam family "U2 spliceosomal RNA". Rfam says of the family: U2 is a small nuclear RNA (snRNA) component of the spliceosome (involved in pre-mRNA splicing). Complementary binding between U2 snRNA (in an area lying towards the 5' end but 3' to hairpin I) and the branchpoint sequence (BPS) of the intron results the bulging out of an unpaired adenosine, on the BPS, which initiates a nucleophilic attack at the intronic 5' splice site, thus starting the first of two transesterification reactions that mediate splicing. Lineage: Eukaryota; Metazoa; Chordata; Lepidosauria; Squamata; Anolidae. The record is from Ensembl.
AUAACUUCUCAGCCUUUUGGCUAGGAUCAAGUGCAGUCUCUGUUCAUGUGUAAUAUUUAGGUAUUUUAAAAUUAAAUAUAAAAAUAAGUGCAAUGUUUUCUCAUUCACUGCAUUUUCUUGCAUUUUGCUUCUCCUCACUCUUUACCUACCAGAACAGAGAGAGAUUGUAAGAGAGGACGCAUC